This 22-nucleotide microRNA is filed under the name Ornithorhynchus anatinus (platypus). Its description in RNAcentral is "Oan-Novel-1_5p* (star (passenger))". Lineage: Eukaryota; Metazoa; Chordata; Mammalia; Monotremata; Ornithorhynchidae. The record is from RNAcentral.
GAACACCUCAAUUAUUAGUAGU